RNAcentral lists this ribosomal RNA (460 nucleotides) under uncultured bacterium. RNAcentral's name for it is "partial 16S ribosomal RNA". It matches the Rfam family "Bacterial small subunit ribosomal RNA", at positions 338 to 795 of the family's 1533-position model. The record is from RNAcentral.
CCUACGGGGUGCAGCAGUGAGGAAUAUUGGUCAAUGGCCGGAAGGCUGAACCAGCCAUGCCGCGUGAAGGUCAGUGCCCUAUGGGCGUUAAACUUCUUUUGUGCGGGAGCAAUAAUGGUCACGUGUGGCCAGACGAGAGUACCGUACGAAUAAGCAUCGGCUAACUCCGUGCCAGCAGCCGCGGUAAUACGGGGGAUGCAAGCGUUAUCCGGAUUUAUUGGGGUUAAAGGGUGCGUAGGCUGGGAGGUAAGUCAGCGGUGAAAUGCCCCGGCGCAACGGGGUGAAGUGCCAUUGAUACUGCCUUGCUGGAAUGCGGAUGCCGUGGGAGGAAUGUGUGGUGUAGCGGUGAAAUGCAUAGAUAUCACACAGAACACCGAUUGCGAAGGCAUCUCACGAAUCCGCGAUUGACGCUGAUGCACGAAAGCGUGGGUAUCAAACAGGAUUAGAUACCCCUGUAGUC